This 269-nucleotide ribosomal RNA is filed under the name Acetobacteraceae bacterium B01_35. Its description in RNAcentral is "partial 16S ribosomal RNA". It matches the Rfam family "Bacterial small subunit ribosomal RNA", at positions 54 to 345 of the family's 1533-position model. RNAcentral also lists the same sequence under 4 other names. Lineage: Bacteria; Pseudomonadati; Pseudomonadota; Alphaproteobacteria; Acetobacterales; Acetobacteraceae. The record is from RNAcentral.
CUACCAUGCAAGUCGCACGAACCUUUCGGGGUUAGUGGCGGACGGGUGAGUAACGCGUAGGAACCUAUCUGGAGGUGGGGGAUAACAUCGGGAAACUGGUGCUAAUACCGCAUGAUGCCUGAGGGCCAAAGGAGAGAUCCGCCAUUGGAGGGGCCUGCGUUCGAUUAGCUAGUUGGUUGGGUAAAGGCUGACCAAGGCGAUGAUCGAUAGCUGGUUUGAGAGGAUGAUCAGCCACACUGGGACUGAGACACGGCCCAGACUCCUACGGG